RNAcentral lists this ribosomal RNA (1680 nucleotides) under uncultured eukaryote. Its description in RNAcentral is "SSU rRNA". It matches the Rfam family "Eukaryotic small subunit ribosomal RNA". The record is from RNAcentral.
UACCUGGUUGAUCCUGCCAGUAGUCAUAUGCUUGUCUCAAAGAUUAAGCCAUGCAUGUCUAAGUAUGAGCUGUCAUACGGUGAAACUGCGAAUGGCUCAUUAUAACAGUUAUAGUUUACUUGAGGAAGAACUUACAUGGAUAACCGUGGUAACUCUAGAGCUAAUACAUGCACAAGAAGCCUUGGCUUCGUGUUUAUUAGAUUACACCGGACGGGGCAACCUGUUAGGCGAGUCAUGAUAACCGAGCGAAUCGCAAUAGCGAUGCAUCAUCCAAGUUCCUGCCCUAUCAGCUUGAUGGUUGUGUAUUGGACUACCAUUGCAGUCACGGGUAACGAGGAAUUAGGGUUCGAUUUCGGAGAGGGAGCCUGAGAAACGGCUACCACAUCUAAGGAAGGCAGCAGGCGCGCAAAUUACCCAAUGCCAAUACUGGUGAGGUAGUGACAAGAAAUAACAACGCGAGGCUUCUGUCUUGCGAUUGGAAUGAGUGCAAAUUAAAACUCUCAACAAUGAGCAACUGGAGGGAAAGUCUGGUGCCAGCAGCCGCGGUAAUACCAGCUCCAGUAGCGUAUAUUAAAGUUGUUGCAGUUGAAACGCUCGUAGUCUGACUUUUUUCCCAGUGGGAACAAGCCGCUCGCCUUGCUAAUCCAGUGGGUUGGUAAGUUCACGACGGCACGUCACCUUGAGAAAUUAGAGUGUUCAAGGCAGGCAUAGCCUGAAUACUGCAGCAUGGGAAUGGCACGCUUUUGCAAGCACAGUGCCGUGAUGUGUUAUGCAAGAGUCUAAUAGGGUCAGUCGUGGGGCAUCGCAUGGAUCGAGAGAAGGUGAAUUCUUGGACCGAUCCAUGGCAAACGAAAGCGAAAGCAUCUGCCAAGGAUGUCUUCCAUGAUCAAGACGAAGGUCAGGGUAUCGAAGACGAUCAGAUACCGUCGUAGUCCUGACUGUAAACUAUGCCGACUGGAGAUCCGAGAAGCAGCUACUGACUUCUUGAGGACUCUACGAGAAAUCAAAGUCUUUAGGUUCUGGGGGGAGUAUGGUCGCAAGGCUGAAACUUGAAGGAAUUGACGGAAGGGCACCACCAGGCGUGGAGCUUGCGGCUUAAUUUGACUCAACACGGGGAAACUUACCAGGUCAAGACAUGGAAAGGAUUGACAGGCUGGAUGCCCUUUCUCGAUUCCAUGGAUGGUGGUGCAUGGCCGUUCUUAGUUGGUGGAGUGAUCUGUCUGGUUGAUUCCGAUAACGAACGAGACCUUGGCCUACUAACUAGUGUUAAUGCUUAUGCGUUAGCAACUUCUUAGAGGGACUUCGGCGGUUACGUCGCGGAAGCUCGAGGCAAUAACAGGUCUGUGAUGCCCUUAGAUGUCCUGGGCCGCACGCGUGCUACAUUGAUACAGGCAGCGAGUUCCAAUGUCGAGAGACUAAGGUAAUCUCAAAACUGUAUCGUGCUGGGGACAGUCCCUUGGAAUUGUGGGGCUCCAACGAGGAAUGCCUAGUAAGUGCGAGUCAUCAGCUCGUGCUGAUUACGUCCCUGCCCUUUGUACACACCGCCCGUCGCUCCUACCGAUUUCGAGUGAUUAGGUGGGUCUCUUGGACUACAUCACUGUAGAAAGAGAGACAAAUCUGACCACUUAGAGGAAGGAGAAGUCGUAACAAGGUUUCCGUAGGUGAACCUGCAGAAGGAUC